Molecule: ribosomal RNA, 420 nt
Filed under: bacterium
Lineage: Bacteria
Description: partial 16S ribosomal RNA
Rfam family: Bacterial small subunit ribosomal RNA
Source: RNAcentral
UGGGGGAUAUUGCACAAUGGGCGAAAGCCAGAUGCAGCGACGCCGCGUGGGGGAUGAAGGCUUUCGGGUUGUAAACCUCUUUCGCUAUCGAACAAGGCCCGCUUAGGGUGGGUUGAGGGUAGGUGGAGAAGAAGCGCCGGCUAACUACGUGCCAGCAGCCGCGGUAAUACGUAGGGCGCGAGCGUUGUCCGGAAUUAUUGGGCGUAAAGGGCUUGUAGGCGGCUUGUUGCGCCUGCUGUGAAAACGCGGGGCUUAACUUCGCGCGUGCAGUGGGUACGGGCAGGCUUGAGUGUGGUAGGGGUGACUGGAAUUCCAGGUGUAGCGGUGGAAUGCGCAGAUAUCUGGAGGAACACCGAUGGCGAAGGCAGGUCACUGGGCCAUUACUGACGCUGAGGAGCGAAAGCAUGGGUAGCGAACAGG